GGGUUGUGAGGUUAAGCGACUAAGCGUACACGGUGGAUGCCCUGGCAGUCAGAGGCGAUGAAGGACGUGCUAAUCUGCGAUAAGCGCCGGUAAGGUGAUAUGAACCGUUAUAACCGGCGAUUUCCGAAUGGGGAAACCCAGUGUGACUCGUCACACUAUCAUUAACUGAAUCCAUAGGUUAAUGAGGCGAACCGGGGGAACUGAAACAUCUAAGUACCCCGAGGAAAAGAAAUCAACCGAGAUUCC
This 246-nucleotide ribosomal RNA is filed under the name Salmonella enterica subsp. enterica serovar Muenchen. Its description in RNAcentral is "partial 23S ribosomal RNA". It matches the Rfam family "Bacterial large subunit ribosomal RNA", at positions 1 to 238 of the family's 2925-position model. RNAcentral also lists the same sequence under 3 other names. Lineage: Bacteria; Pseudomonadati; Pseudomonadota; Gammaproteobacteria; Enterobacterales; Enterobacteriaceae. The record is from RNAcentral.